Molecule: ribosomal RNA, 253 nt
Filed under: uncultured bacterium
Lineage: Bacteria
Description: partial 16S ribosomal RNA
Rfam family: Bacterial small subunit ribosomal RNA
Source: RNAcentral
UACGUAGGGUGCAAGCGUUGUCCGGAAUUAUUGGGCGUAAAGAGCUCGUAGGCGGUCUGUCGCGUCUGCUGUGAAAACUCGGGGCUUAACCCCGGGCCUGCAGUGGGUACGGGCAGACUAGAGUGCGGUAGGGGAGACUGGAAUUCCUGGUGUAGCGGUGAAAUGCAUUGAGAUCGGAAAGAACACCAACGGCGAAAGCACGCUGCUGGGCCGACACUGACGCUGAGAGACGAAAGCUAGGGGAGCAAAUGGG